RNAcentral lists this ribosomal RNA (253 nucleotides) under uncultured bacterium. RNAcentral describes it as "partial 16S ribosomal RNA". It matches the Rfam family "Bacterial small subunit ribosomal RNA", at positions 524 to 776 of the family's 1533-position model. The record is from RNAcentral.
UACGGGGGGGGUAAGCGUUGUUCGGAAUUAUUGGGCGUAAAGAGCUCGUAGGCGGUUUGUCGCGUCUGCUGUGAAAACCUAAGGCUCAACCUUGGGCUUGCAGUGGGUACGGGCAGACUAGAGUGCGGUAGGGGUGACUGGAAUUCCUGGUGUAGCGGUGGAAUGCGCAGAUAUCAGGAGGAACACCGAUGGCGAAGGCAGGUCACUGGGCCGCAACUGACGCUGAGGAGCGAAAGCAUGGGGAGCGAACAGG